AGUCGACGCUUCUUUUUCCCCGGAGCUUGCUCCACCGGAAAAAGAGGAGUGGCGAACGGGUGAGUAACACGUGGGUAACCUGCCCAUCAGAAGGGGAUAACACUUGGAAACAGGUGCUAAUACCGUAUAACAAUCGAAACCGCAUGGUUUUGAUUUGAAAGGCGCUUUCGGGUGUCGCUGAUGGAUGGACCCGCGGUGCAUUAGCUAGUUGGUGAGGUAACGGCUCACCAAGGCGACGAUGCAUAGCCGACCUGAGAGGGUGAUCGGCCACAUUGGGACUGAGACACGGCCCAAACUCCUACGGGAGGCAGCAGUAGGGAAUCUUCGGCAAUGGACGAAAGUCUGACCGAGCAACGCCGCGUGAGUGAAGAAGGUUUUCGGAUCGUAAAACUCUGUUGUUAGAGAAGAACAAGGAUGAGAGUAACUGUUCAUCCCUUGACGGUAUCUAACCAGAAAGCCACGGCUAACUACGUGCCAGCAGCCGCGGUAAUACGUAGGUGGCAAGCGUUGUCCGGAUUUAUUGGGCGUAAAGCGAGCGCAGGCGGUUUCUUAAGUCUGAUGUGAAAGCCCCCGGCUCAACCGGGGAGGGUCAUUGGAAACUGGGAGACUUGAGUGCAGAAGAGGAGAGUGGAAUUCCAUGUGUAGCGGUGAAAUGCGUAGAUAUAUGGAGGAACACCAGUGGCGAAGGCGGCUCUCUGGUCUGUAACUGACGCUGAGGCUCGAAAGCGU
Molecule: ribosomal RNA, 729 nt
Filed under: uncultured bacterium
Lineage: Bacteria
Description: bacterial SSU rRNA
Rfam family: Bacterial small subunit ribosomal RNA
Source: RNAcentral